This 454-nucleotide ribosomal RNA is filed under the name Alcanivorax nanhaiticus. Its description in RNAcentral is "bacterial SSU rRNA". It matches the Rfam family "Bacterial small subunit ribosomal RNA", at positions 1 to 454 of the family's 1533-position model. The record is from RNAcentral. Lineage: Bacteria; Pseudomonadati; Pseudomonadota; Gammaproteobacteria; Oceanospirillales; Alcanivoracaceae.
AACUGAAGAGUUUGAUCAUGGCUCAGAUUGAACGCUGGCGGCAGGCCUAACACAUGCAAGUCGAGCGGAAACGAUGGUAGCUUGCUACCAGGCGUCGAGCGGCGGACGGGUGAGUAACGCGUGAGAAUCUGCCCAUUUGUGGGGGAUAACUCGGGGAAACUCGAGCUAAUACCGCAUAAUCCCUACGGGGGAAAGCAGGGGACCUUCGGGCCUUGUGCAGAUGGAUGAGCUCGCGUCGGAUUAGCUAGUUGGUAGGGUAAAGGCCUACCAAGGCGACGAUCCGUAGCUGGUCUGAGAGGAUGAUCAGCCACACUGGGACUGAGACACGGCCCAGACUCCUACGGGAGGCAGCAGUGGGGAAUCUUGGACAAUGGGGGCAACCCUGAUCCAGCCAUGCCGCGUGUGUGAAGAAGGCCUUAGGGUUGUAAAGCACUUUCAGUAGGGAGGAAGGCUU